This 345-nucleotide ribosomal RNA is filed under the name Ixodes sp. KM-2014a. Its description in RNAcentral is "partial 16S small subunit ribosomal RNA". The record is from RNAcentral. Lineage: Eukaryota; Metazoa; Arthropoda; Arachnida; Ixodida; Ixodidae.
AGAAUGGUUUAACAAUUAUAAGCUUUCUUUAAUUAAAUAAUUGAAUUUAAUUUUUUUGUGAAGAAGCAAUAAUGUGAAUUAGGGACAAGAAGACCCUAUGAAUUUUGAUUUCAUAAUUUAAUAAUAUUUUUAUUUAUGAAAUUUGAUUGGGGCGAUAUAAAAAGAAUAUUUAUCUUUUUAUUUAAAAAUUAAUUUGAUCCGCUAUUAGCGAUUAUAUGAAAAAAAUACUCUAGGGAUAACAGCGUAAUAAUUUUGGAUAGUUCAUAUAGAUAAAAUAGUUUGCGACCUCGAUGUUGGAUUAGGAUUCUUUUUUGGUGAAGAAAUUAAAAUUAAGAAGUUUGUUCA